UCGUUGUAAAGAUCACGGUUGGUCAAGAGGGAACUGGCCAGGUGUAUUGCAGAUCCCCCGCUCAAGGAGUGGCUGAAGGGUCUGGAAUACAGCAAGAAUUGUCUGGCUUCAUGCUGACCAGACUGGCGAGCUAACCGUUUAAGCGGAUCCGGAAAUACAACACCUAUUAUCUUCCGAACUGGUUGGAGAUUCAGCCCAACAAGUCUUCAUUGAAGGAACUGGAUUAUUAUUUUGUUUUUUCCCUUUCAUCAUCAACAAAGACUGGUUGGCUGCCUUGGUAUAAGGAACUCUUUUGGACUUUAAAUUGUGGACUAACUUGUAUAUAUUGUAAAUAUUAAUACAACUCACCAAUUUUUGCACCA
This is a long non-coding RNA of Xiphophorus couchianus (Monterrey platyfish), 362 nucleotides long. RefSeq lists it as uncharacterized. The record is from RefSeq and is a predicted model, not a curated record. The transcript is spliced from 2 exons. Lineage: Eukaryota; Metazoa; Chordata; Actinopteri; Cyprinodontiformes; Poeciliidae.